UGCUUCCAUAGUUUAAUGGAUAGAACAAUCCCCUCCUAAGGGAUAGAUGUGGGUUCGAUUCCCGCUGGGAGUACCAA
RNAcentral lists this transfer RNA (77 nucleotides) under Clostridium butyricum 5521. RNAcentral's name for it is "tRNA-Arg". It matches the Rfam family "tRNA". Rfam says of the family: Transfer RNA (tRNA) molecules are approximately 80 nucleotides in length. Their secondary structure includes four short double-helical elements and three loops (D, anti-codon, and T loops). Lineage: Bacteria; Bacillati; Bacillota; Clostridia; Eubacteriales; Clostridiaceae. The record is from RNAcentral. RNAcentral also lists the same sequence under 1 other name.